GACCAUUAAAAAAUGCACAUUAUGCUAGUAAUCCACUAAGCCAUCAAGAAAGGACAGAGUGAAAACAUUGCUUUUGGGUGAAGUGGCAACAUAUUAUGUUGUUUGCUUCAAUCAGUUUUGUGACAAGA
Molecule: small nucleolar RNA, 128 nt
Filed under: Neotoma lepida (desert woodrat)
Lineage: Eukaryota; Metazoa; Chordata; Mammalia; Rodentia; Cricetidae
Source: RNAcentral